CUUCAAUAGCCUUGCUUUUUGAAUUCCCCAUACCUACAAUGAAUGCAUGCUUAAGAGCGGUAAACUGAACCAGAUCAAUGUUGCCUGCUAAAAAGCUUUCUCCUUGUUGUUGUUUUUUCGAUGAGAACUAUUUUGAAAACAUAUCUGCUGUUCAUAAAGGAAGUCGUCAUUUGUUGUAUGCAGAGUAAAGUUUGAAGAGACGAAGAAAUUUCCAGAUGCACCCGCGCUCGUAAAACGUCUAUAUGUACUGUAAGGCAGAUUUGAGGCAUAUAUUUGUGUAUGAAAUUUUGUAGAUCCGGCACCAUAUGUAGAUCCGGCUUAGAUGUAUUCGGACAAAAGGGCGUACAUAGGUCUGUACAAAUACCUAGAUUAGUUAGAGAAAACCGAAGAUAUACCUAGUUCAAGUACGGCUGUUGUUACGGCGGCGGUUGACGGCGGCGGUGGUUCAAACCGGCGGCGGUAGUUAUGGACGGAGGCGAUUGACGACGUCAGUGAUUCACGAAGGAGGCGGUUGAGGACGGCGUUGGUUCACUUAGUUGUCGCGGCGCACGCCCCAGCACGCCUGGAAGGCGGCCUCCAGCACGGCGCGCUCGGAAACGCCGGCGCGGUAGAGGCGGCAGAAGCAGGACGCCCACACGACGUUCGCGGGCGAGAGCCGGUGCAGGACCGCCUGCAAGAGAUCGUCGAGCGUGGCGGUUCCUGAAGGUCGAGGGAAGAGAGGGGGAAGGCAAUAGGAGGUCAAGGAGCGCGGCGGCGGCGGCACAGGAACCCUAACCCUGUGCGGGGUGAGGACUGGCGUUUGUUUUGUGCAAAGAGUUUUGUUUUGCGGGAGGAGAUGGAAACAUGAACCGGUGGCUGGUCAAAAAUCAGGAGACGAAAAUUAACCGAUGGGAACGUAGAGACGAAAAAAAACCAUCCUUUGGUGGAAGUUGAGACAAAAAAAACAGUUGGUGGGAAGAGAGACGAAAAAUAACCAUGUAGAGGUGGACAAAAAUUAACCGGUGACGAAAUUGAACCGGUGAGAUCCGGCUACCAACUGCCCCUUUAUUAGUAGAGAUAAAAUAACCAUGUAGAGGUGGCGGUUCCUGAAGGUCGAGGGAAGAGAGGGGGAAGGCAGUAGGAGGUCGAGGAGCGCGGGGGCGGCGACACAGGAACCCUAACCCUAUGCGGGGUGAGGAUUGGAGUUUGUUUUGUGCAAAGAGUUUUGUUUUGCGGGAGGAGACGAAAACAUAAACCGGUGGCUGGUCAAAAAUCAGGAGACGAAAAUUAACCGGUGAGAACGUAGAGACGAAAAAAAACCAUCCUUUGGUGGAAGGAGAGAAAAAAAACAGUUGAUGGGAAGAGAGACGAAAAAUAACCAUGUAAAAGUGGACGAAAAUUAACCGGUGACAAAAUUGAACCGGUGAGAUUCGGCUACCAACUACCUCUUUAUUAGUAGAGAUCCUUUUCCCCAAUGAACCAACCAGCACCAUGGACGCGUCCAGCUCUUGCAGGAGCCAGAUCCAACACCCGCAGUCUCCCUCCUGGUGAUCCAACCAGCGCCCGAUUGCUCCUCCCGCAGCGCGGACGCGCCCACCCAAGUGGAUGCCUAGCUGCUCCAGUAGCCAUGGUCAUGGCGCCCGAGCGUCCGUGCCUUCCCACGCCGUGCACUCUUGAGAGGAACUCCCUUGCUCCGGCUGGCCACCAACAACCUCGAGGGCAGUCCCUCAUGCCUCCUUCCCCUCUCCUUUCUCAUCCUCUUACUUCCUAUCUCUCCCUUUCUAUGAGCUCCCUAUCCCUCGUGCUUUCUUCUCGCAAGAGCCACUAGGGCUGACCGAAGCUUUGACCGCUCCUUCGCGAGGCUGCCGCCGCAUCUCCAGCCCUCGUCGCCGACCUGCAAGACGAGAAGAAGAAACAAGGACGUUGUCGCUUCAUGGAGCUUCCUAUGCUCAGAGCUUCAUACCCCUCACCCACGCUGGAUCCGCCUCCUCACGACCGGAUCCAGCGCCUCCAUGGCCCUGCCGGACCUCGACCCCCUCUGCCAGCGCCAUCCCCGUCCAGUUUCCUUGCGCCGCAGGUGUGUAGCCCCCAGAUCCGCCAUUGUUGUGUCGUUGCCUGCGUCUGUUCAUGGAGAAGAAGACUCAUUGAAACGUUAGUACUUAUUGCACUUAGCUGCUAGCACAUCAAAUGAGAAAGCAUAGCCGAGCUGGCUAGCACCGCUCGGUUACAUCCUAGAGAUCUCGGUUUUUGCCCUGUUUUUGUUGAUCUCGACUCGGCUGAAGUGCUACUUCAUCCACGAAGAAUCUUGUACAAUAUCAUAAAUAGAGAAACUAGCUUAGUUGGCUAGCGCAACAGGUCUUCAACUACGAGGUCCACGGACCAAAUCCCCGCGGCCUAUCUUUUAUUUUUACCUAGUGUAUUUUUUUGCACACACGCACUCUCAGCAGUUUUGGGCGAGACAUACUGCUAGGCUUGCGCAGUGCACAACAUUGAGCCUAUAUGUACUUUUUGGUUCGCUGCGAUUAAUCAAAUUGUUCACGAACUUCUAUAUGUACAAAAUGCCAUUAUUGUGCAUUGCUCAUAAAUCAUUAACCGUGCAUUGGAUCAAAUGAUUUAUAUAUGUUAAAUAAGUAGACU
This 2616-nucleotide long non-coding RNA is filed under the name Hordeum vulgare. RNAcentral's name for it is "long non-coding RNA (HVUL_LNC012774)". The record is from RNAcentral. Lineage: Eukaryota; Viridiplantae; Streptophyta; Magnoliopsida; Poales; Poaceae.